UACGGAGGGUGCAAGCGUUAUCCGGAUUCACUGGGGUUAAAGGGUGCGUAGGCGGGCAGGUAAGUCCGUGGUGAAAUCUCUGAGCUUAACUCAGAAACUGCCAUGGAUACUAUUUGUCUUGAAUGUUGUGGAGGUAAGCGGAAUAUGUCAUGUAGCGGUGAAAUGCUUAAAUAUGACAUAGAACACCAAUUGCGAAGGCAGCUUACUACACAAAUAUUGACGCUGAGGCACGAAAGCGUGGGGAUCAAACAGG
Molecule: ribosomal RNA, 253 nt
Filed under: uncultured bacterium
Lineage: Bacteria
Description: partial 16S ribosomal RNA
Rfam family: Bacterial small subunit ribosomal RNA
Source: RNAcentral